Molecule: ribosomal RNA, 408 nt
Filed under: uncultured bacterium
Lineage: Bacteria
Description: partial 16S ribosomal RNA
Rfam family: Bacterial small subunit ribosomal RNA
Source: RNAcentral
GACGAACGCUGGCGGCGUGCUUAACACAUGCAAGUCGAACGAAGCGGCGAACGGGUGAGUUACGCGUAAUCAACCUGCCCUUCAGAGGGGGACAACAGUUGGAAACGACUGCUAAUACCGCAUACUGAAGGUGGGGAUUGCGUCUGAUUAGCUAGUUGGUGGGUUAACGGCCCACUAAGGCGAUGAUCAGUAGCCGGUCUGGAGGAGUGAGCGGCAGCAUUGGAGCUGAGACACGGCCCAGGCCACUACGGGAGGCAGCAGUGGGGAAUCUUCCGCAAUGGACGAAAGUCUGACGGAGCAACGCCGCGUGGGUGAUGACGGCCUUCGGGUUGUAAAGCUCUGUUAAUCGGGACGCGGUACCGGAAUAGAAAGCCACGGCUAACUACGUGCCAGCAGCCGCGGUAAUAC